UCCCUGGUGGUCCAGUGAUUAGGACUCCGCAUUUUCACUGCAGGGAGCAUGGGUUCAACCCCUGACGGGGGAA
Non-coding RNA from Bos taurus (domestic cattle), 73 nucleotides. The record is from Rfam. NCBI's taxonomy places the organism in Eukaryota, Metazoa, Chordata, Mammalia, Artiodactyla, Bovidae.